CCUUUCCCUCAGCCUCCCGGGAGCGUGACGCGGCGGCCCGGGGGCCUCCGGGCGCCUUCCGGGGCACGCGGGAUCGACAUGCACUUGGAUCAUUGCAGUUUCUGGGCCUGCUGUCAUCUCCCCCUUCAGUACUUCCCACAUAUGACUACCAACUGUUAGACGAUGUGCUGCUGCCAGACCAGCCUUUCAUUUCUUGGACAUCCGGCUAUUUACCCAGGAAAAGUCAUCCUUUGACUAUUUUUCAUGACCUUUCUCAUCUGACUCGUGAUCUGCCCAUCUUGUUACUCCCUAGCAGUGUGGUAAGCCAAAUUCAUUCUCCCAAGAAGACAAGGAUCGAGGACUGUGGAGCCAACUCAGACUCGCCACGGCUAACAAUGUUUCCUGGGAUCGCCUCCCAAAUAAACUGCUUGUACUUGAACCCUUGUCUCAGAGUUGACUACUGGAAGAACCCCAGAUAAGACAAUCUGCGAGUAGACAUGUCAGAUAAUGCAGUUAGAUAUGAAUCUGGAAUUCAGAGGAGAGGCUCAUGCAAUUUGCAAGUCAUCAUCAAAAAGAUGUCAUUUGUUCUGUUUGUCUACUGCAGGAAGACAGAUUACCCUAAAAUUUAGUGGCUGAAAACAACUCUAUUUUAUCGUAGCUUACAAUUUUGUGGAUUGGGAAUUAGAGCCUGUCUCAUCUGGGCAACUCUUCUGUUCCCCAUGGCAUCACCUGAGGUCACUCCAUGGUAUUCAGCUACCAGACGAACUCAUCUGGAGUAUCCAAGUAUUCAUUCACGCUCAUAUCUGGCACCUUGGCAGGGAUGACUGGAAGCCUGGGCUCAGCUGGGACUGCUGACCAUAGUACCUACAAAUGGCCUCUUCAGCAUGGCUUCUUAAAUGGCUGCUCGGAGCUACCAAGAGACAGGAAGUAGAAGCUGCUAGUUUCUUAAGACCCAGAAAUGGUACAAUUUCAUUCCUGCCAUUGGUCAAAGCAGUCACAGAGCCUUCCAAGAGGAAACACAGACCCUCACUUCUCACUGGGAAGUAUGUCAAAGAGUUUGGGGCUUUUUUUUUGAGAAGGAGUCUUGCUCUGUCGCCCAGGCUGGAGUGCAGUGGCAAGAUCUCGGCUCACUGCAACCUCUGCCUCCCGAAUUCAAGCAAUUCUCCUGCUUUGGCCUCCCAAGUAGCUGGGAUUACAGGCAUGCGCCACCACACCCGGCUAAUUUUUUUGUAUUUUUAGUGGAGACGGGGUUUCACCAUAUGGGCCAGGCUGGUCUCGAACUCCUGACCUUGUGAUUCACCUGCCUCAGCCUCCCAAAGUGCUGGGAUUACAGACGUAAGCCACUGCGCCCAGCCCUGGGGCUGUCUUUAAUCCACUACAACAUUGCAAAGCUGUGAGCCAGGAUGAGAACGCCAGAGGUAUGAAUGUGGAUUAAAAGUCCAAGCACUGAAACUUUCAAUGUUUAGAGACCAGUGAGAGAAAGAACCAGCAACAGAGACUCAGAACUAUAUCAUAUUCUGCUGAUAAGCCAAUAAGAUGAUAAUGAUAACUAAGAAUUGACAUUGGCUUUAGUGAUGUAGACAUAAUUGGGGACCUUGACAAGAGCAGUUUACUGGGGGUGGUUGAGUUGAAACUUUGAUUGUUUCAAGAGAGAAUGGAAUGAGUGGAAAGAUAGUUUGUGAGUGCUAGCAAUUAUUCAGAGAAUUUCUGCUAUAAAUGGGAGCAGGAGGAUGUAUCAGGAGCUAAUGGGAGAAAUGAGGUCAACAUUAUUUCCUAUGUAGCUUUCUCUUAUGCCCAAAUUCCACUGGAUAUCAUCCACUUCUGGUUACUUCUGGUUUGGGAUGUAUAGGUGAAGGAAUAGUUUUGGAUCCUCCUUUAUUACCUGUUUUAUUUGCAUAAUUGGACAAUAACUAAACUUGCUUUAAAUAUCUCUUAAAGCAUUUUAAAUUCAAAUUUGGAGAGAGGAAUAUGAGAGUGGUUUUUGGUCAUUGUUUAGCCAUAUACAAUAUUGUCUUACCUUCUGCAUUUGAAGUUUUUGAUACCUGAUAAAUGUUUGUAUUGUGUAGUUGAACAAGAAUUUGCCACAUGAAGGUUUACAGUUGUAGUUUUAUGUUAAGUUCUUUACAGUAGUCCCCUCUCAUCUUUAUCCCCCACUUGGAACUAUCUACAGUAGUUCCAGGACCCCCCUCCCAGUGGAUGAUUGAAACCAUGGAUAGUACCAAACCCUAUAUACAUAUUAUGUUUUUCCUAUACAUACAUACCUAUGAUGUUUAAUUUCUAAAUUAGGCGGAGUAAGAGAUGAACAACAACUAAUAAUGUAAUAGAACAGUUGUAACAAUAUACUAUAAUAAGAGCUACAUGAAUGUGGUUUCUCCCUCUCAAAAUGUGUUACUGUACUCACCUAUCUUUGGUCCAUGGUUGUCUGUGGGUGACUGAAACUGCAUAUAAGGCAGGGGACUACUGUAACCACAGGUGUUGGAAGGCAGCAUAGCAGAGUAGUUAGGGUCAGGACUGCGGAGGAAGACUGCCUAGGUUCAUAUUAUGAUGUAAACUCUCCAUGCCUCACUUUUCUUAUCUAAUGCGGAGAUAAUAAUAGUAACUCAUUUGUAAAGUUAUUAUAAGUAUUAAAUGAGAAAAUACAUGUAAGACACUUAGAGUAUCACAGGUCAUCACUUACUUAGUAUGUAGUAAGUAUUUGAUGAGGUUAGUUACUAUUCUUAUUGAGCAGUGAAUCAGUUAGGAAUGCUUUCGGCUGCAAGGAGGAGAAUACUGAUUUACAGUGGCCUCAGUGAGAAGCCUGCAUUUCUCUCACAGAGCAGGCACUGCAGAGGUAGGCAGCUGCUAAAACAGGUUCCUUUCUACAGCUCCAGGGGUCUGAGUUGGCCACUCUUCAGUUCCCUCGGACCUCCCCUGUUGUUUGCCACACCACCAAUCAUCACAUUCUCAAAGGCAUUCAAGGCAGAAAGCUGGGAACAAGGAAGGGCGGAGAGUUUCUCUUCAGGAGCCUCCCUCUUACUAGAGAAGAAAAAAACCUGCCUUUUAUGGGUUCUUUUGUCUUGUUUUUCAUGACUGUCUUCAUUUGAGAAAGUCCUCAGGCCAAGAAAUGGAGGUGCUGGCAGUUGGAGAUCAGGCUGUCCAUAGCACACUGAUGUGGCACAGGCAAGGAAUAUGGCUGAGGCACCAAUUUGCUGCUACUGCUGUCUAACAGGCAUUGGAAGUCUUAUGUGUUCAAAAAUAAACUUCUGAUUUCUACUCCCAAACCUGCUCUUCCCACAUCUUCCCCGUCUCAGUAGGUGGCAGCUCUAUUUGUCCGGUUACUGAGACCAAAUAUUAGAGUCCUCCUUAAUUUCCUCUCUCUCAUGCUUCACAUUCAGUUUAUUAAUAAAUCCUGUUGACAGCCUGGGCAAUAUGGCAAGAAUCCAUCUCACAAAAUAAAUAAAUAAGCCAGGUGUGGUGGUACGUGCCUGUGGUCCCCGGUUACUCGAGAAGCUGAGGCUGAGGAUCAGUUGAGCCCAGGAGUUGAGGCUACAGAUAGCUAUGAUCACACCACUGCACUCCAGCCUGGGCAUCAGUGAGAGCACAUUUCUUAAAAAAAAAAAAAAAAAAAAAAGAAGGACUGGGCGUGGUGGCUCAUGCCUGUAAUCCGAACAUUUUGGGAGGCCGAGGCGGGCAGAUCACUUGAGCCCAGGAGUUUGAGACCAGUCUGCACAAUAUGGUGAGACCCCUGUCUCUACAAAAAAUACAAAAUUUAGCUGGGCAUGGUGGCACAUGCCUGUAGUCCCAGCUACUCGGGAGGCUGGGGCAGGAGGAUCUCUUGAGCCAGGGAGUUGGAGAUUGCAGUGAGCCAAGAUCACACCACUGCACUCCAGCCUGCGCAACAGAGCCAGACUGUGUUUAAAAAAAAAAAAAUCCUGUCAGAUCUACCUUUAGAUUAUGUCCAGAAUUCAACCACUUUCAUCAUCUGUAUCAUUACUACACUGACCCAAUCCACCAACAUUUCUUGCCUGUAUUAUUUAAAAUUUCUGGCCAGGUGUGGUGGCUCACACCUGUAAUCCCAGCACUUUGGGAGGCCCAGGAGGGUGGAUCACGAGGUCAGGAGAUCGAGACCAUCCUGGCUAACAUGAUGAAACCCCGUCUCUACUAAAAAUACAAAAACUUAGCCGGGUGUGGUGGCGGGCGCCUGUAGUCCCAGCUACUUGGGAGGCUGAGGCAGGAGAAUGGUGUCAACCCGGGAGGGGGAGCUUGCAGUGAGCCGAGAUCGCGCCACUGCACUCCAGCCUGGGCGACAGAGCGAGACUCCGUCUCAAAAAAAGAAAAGAAAAGUUUCCUAACUGGUUUUUGUGUUUUCUUCCCCUUUCCCCCCAUGAUUUAAAAGCUAGGUUAUAUUCUGUCACUUUCUUGCACAAAAUUCUCCAAUGACUUCCAGUCUCACUCGGAGUAAAAUCCAAAUUCUUAGGAUGGCCUAUAAUGUCCUACAAAAUUUGCCCCCUCAUUGACUCUUUGACCUCAUCUGCUAGUCUCCUAGCUCAUUCUGCUCCAGUUGCCCCAAUUUCCCUACUGUUCCCCCAACCAUGCCAGGUGUGCCCCCACCUCAAGAGCGGCCCUUUUUUUUUUUUUUUUUUUUUUUGAGACGGAGUCUCGCUCUGUCGCCCAGGCUGGAGUGCAGUGGUGCUAUCUCAGCUCACUGCAACCUCGGCCUCCUGGGUUCACGCCAUUCUCCUGCCUCAGCCUACCGAGUAGCUGGGACUACAGGCGUCCGCCACCACGCCCGGCUAAUUUUUUGUAUAUUUAGUAGAGACGGGGUUUCACCGUGUUAGCCAGGAUGGUCUCGAUCUCCUGACCUCGUGAUCCGCCCUCCUCGGCCUCCCAAAGUGCUGGGAUUACAGGCGUGAGCCACCACGCCUGGCCUAAGAGCGACCCUUCUAAUGGGCACAGUUUUCUGCCAGGUUGCCUCAAGGCUUGCUUCCUUACUUCCUUCAGGUCUCACAUGUCACCAUGCCUGAGCCUUCCCUGGUGCCCCUAUGUGAAACAGCCAUUUUCUCAUGCACUUUCUGUCCCCAUAUCCUGUUUUAUUUUUCUCCACCUGAUAUACUAUAUGUGUAUUUAUAUAUAUAUGUGUGUGUGUACUAUGCUUGCUUAUCUUCAGUCUCCCCCACUGAAAUGUAAGUUCCAUGAGAGAAGACUUUCUUGUAUUACCUGUUUCACCCCUAGUGCUUGGAACGUAAUAGGCACUUGAAGAGCAUUUCCUGAAUGUAUACAUAAACAAGCAAUAUUGCAUGUUAGCGUUGCCUCAAGAUUUGUGCUUAUUCCUCCCAUAUUUUGUGAUUAAUUCCCCUCUACCUACUCCCAAAAUGAGAUUAUUAAAUCAAAAGGUAAAGGUACUUUGGGAGGCCGAGGCGGGCGGAUCACGAGGUCAGGAGAUCGAGACCAUCCUGGCUAACACGGUGAAACCCCGUCUCUACUAAAAAUACAAAAAAUUAGCCAGCCAAGGCAGCGGGUGCCUGUAGUCCCAGCUACUCGGGAGGCUGAGGCAGGAGAAUGGCGUGAACCCCGGGGGGCGGAGCCUGCAGUGAGCCGAGAUCGCGCCACUGCACUCCAGCCUGGGCGACAGCGAGACUCCGUCUCAAAAAAAAAAAAUUCCAAAUAGCUUUCAAAAACAAAGCAAUUAUGUGGAGAGUAUCAUACGAGUUAUACGUUCUUGUUAGGCAUUGUACUUUUAAACUUUUUCACAAAUUUUAUAGAAAAGACUAGCAAAAUUUAUUAUCUUUCCAUAUUUAUUUACAACCAAUAAUAGUAGUUUUGAAUAAAUAAUUAAUUUUUUAAAGUAUUUAAAAAACGGAAAUCUUGACCAAAGGCUUUCUCAGGUUUAUUCACCUUUUUGGCUGUGAUCUGACCAUGGCUGCCUGUAACCAAAGGUGAACUUACUAACCCCGCUCUGCACACUGCUGCUUAUUUUCCUCCGUUAAGUGCAAUACCUGCCUCCCCAGUUCACGAUUCUAAGUCCUAUAUAUUAGCUUAUCUUUAUAUCUUAGUUAUAUAAUUCUCACACUAGAGGAAAAGGCAGUCUUUUCUGGCUCAAUGACUAUGUCUUUAAAAAAAAAAAUACCAUGCCCUUCCCCACAAUGUUUUCAGUAUCCUAUAAUAAUAUGAAACAAAACAAAAGGUUGAUUAAAGGAACGUACAUAUUGGUUGCAUCAUAGUCACCCCAAGGGAAAUAUUAGGCCCCAAUGGAAGUAAAGACAUAUAGGUUCCUUUUCUUCUCCAACCAAAGGAGCUUGCUGCUCAGAGUUCAAAAUCUAUAUUUUGCAUAUAGAUUAUCUAUAUUUUAUCUUUGCAUAUGCAAUGAUAAAAUUCCAUGGAAAAAAAUGGUGACAUAUGCACAUAAAUCCACUUCUAUAUACAUACAUUUUGACUCUUAGAAACAGCUACUAUAUAACACAAUCAAGUAUCGAUUUAUUUCCUGUCUCUCUCUCUCUACGUAUAUAUUUGGUUCAAAAUAUAUGUAUUUGGUUCAAAGUCUCAGCAAGGGAUGUACCUGGCUUUGGUUAUUGAUGAGAAGAGUAAUUAAUAGAACAUUCCCUUUGCUGUGAUACCCUACCCAAAAUAGCUCGGUUGUUGGUUCACUUUCUUCAGAUACCUCCUUGUCUCAUGGACCGCCUACUUACUCCCAAAUGCCAUUCUGAACAACCAUUUGUAACCACCUCCUCCCAAAUGCCCUCUCCCAACUGCCUUUCUAAAUCAAUGUUUCACUGUCCUAAUUUCUUACUGUUCUUUGCAGUUGUCAUUUUAACCUAAGAGCUAAUUAUCUUUGCCAAACACCAUUCCUAAUAGGCCAAACUUUCAAACUGAAAAAAGAAUCUUAGGAAGUCUUUUGGUAAAAAUAAAUGUUCCCUUAUUUUUGGUUAUUAGUAUUUUGUUUUUUAUUUUAAACUAUGGAUAGCUUCUUGACUGCCUAAGAUUGUGCUACAUAAAUAUCCAGUAACCACCCUAAUCAGCAAAAUGAGAUAAUAAAACAAUCCCAAAAGGAAUGUGAGUAGGACUAAAUUAUGACUUUUUUUUUUUUUUUUUUUUUUUGAGAUGAUGUCUUGUUCUGUUGCCCAGGCUGGAGUGCAGUAGUGCCAUCUCAACUUACUGCAGCCUUCACCUCCUGGGUUCAGGUGAUUCUCCUGCCUCAGCACCCCCCUGCCCCACCCAGGUAGCUGGGAUCACAGGCACCUGCCACCACACCCGGCUAAUUUUUGUAUUUUUAGUAGAGACAGGGUUUCGCAUGUUGGACAGGCUGGUCUCGAACUCCUGACCUCAGGUGAUCCACCACCUCCGCCUCCCAAAGUGCUGGGAUUAUAGGCAUGAGUCACCGCGCCCAGCCCUAAAUUAUAUCACCAGAAAUGGAGUGGGAUAUAUGAAGACAAUGUGUCUCACUUCACACUGACGCAAAGUCUGUCAACAGAACAGAAGCAAGAAUUCCUGAAUUAAGUUAUCACCAGUAUAUAUGGAAUGCUGUCUGAUAAACCUCUUUACAUAGUUUCUUCAUUUUACUUUUCCCAGAUUUUGUACUUCACUCUUAAUAUCGUAUACACAUACUAAAAUCUUUUUUUUUUUUUAAGAGUCAGGGUCUUGCUCUGUCACCCAGGCUGGAGUGCAGUGGUGUGAUCAUAGCUCACUGUAGCCUCAACUCCUGGGCUCAAGAUAUCCUCCCACCUCAGCCUCCCAAGUAGCUGGGACUACAGGAGCAUGACAGCAUGCCCGGCUAAUUUUUAAAUUUUAUUUUUGUAGAGACAGGGGCUCCCUGUGUUGCCCAGGCUGGUCUCAAACUUCUGGGCUCAAGUGAUCCUCCUGCCUCAGCCUCCCAAGGUGUUGGAAUUACAGGCUUGAGCCACCAUGCCCAGCUUAAAAUUCUUGUAAUGAGAACAACUAUGGUCAAAUGUAAUAAAUUGUGAUUAUAUAUAUAAUAAAAUAAGUAAAAUGUCUAUUUCAUAUAAUUUAUAUGACAAAUAUAAUACAAUUAGUGCAGCCCCACCAAAGUCUCAUCUAAAUAAAAUUAUUGACUAUUAUACUUUUGGUAUGAAUCAGUUCUCAUUGUGAGAAUGUUAAAUAAUUCUUUGACUGGUGUUCCUGGGAUGCAAAUAUAUGUAGUUGUUCCUCAGUAUCUGUGGUGGAUUGGUUCCAGCACCCCCUUUCAAAACCAAAAUCUGCAGAUACAGUUGCUGAUAUGAAAUGGCAUAGUAUUUGCAUAUAAACUACGUACAUCCUCCUGUAUACUUUAAAUCACCUCUAGAUUAUUGUAAUAUCUAAUACAAAGUAAAUGCUACGUAUAUUGUUAUACUGUAUUGUUUAGGGAAUAAUGCCAAGAAAAAACAGUCUAUACAUGUUCAGUACAGAUGCAGCCAUCCAUUUUCUUGUCCAAAUAUUUUUUAUCUCCAGUUGGUUGAAUCCAUUGAUGCAGAAACCACGGAUACGGAGAGCUGACUCUGUGUGUGUGUGUGUAUACUCACCAAUUCUUUAUUUAUUCAACAAAUAUUUAUUGAAUUUCUACUAUGUGUGAAGCAUAGUUCACGAUCCUGGGGAUAUAGUAGACAAGCUCCUUGCCUUAUUGAGCUCACAUUCUUAUGGGGAAGGGCAGGUUCAGGGCCUUCUCAGAUCUUUGCUGGGCAUGCACACAGCCCUAUGCAUAUGCUGCUUUGUGGAUUCCCACAAUGAGUUGAAGCUUUUCAAAGCUCCUAGGGACGUACCAUUCUCUGGCUUUUCCUUUUGAGCUUUAGGUUAGCCUUUUGUUUGCCCUAAUAUCACCCACUACUCAGGCAGGAAUGAAGUCAAACAAUUGUCUUGAAAUAUUUUCAAUAAAUGCCUCUGGAGAAAAGGGUUUUUAUUUUUUUAGCCCUGGAUAAGAUCCUGGUUAGGUUAAAUAAAGGCAGCCUUGCAAGUGGGGUCUUCCCGGGAAGCACCAGACAGACAAAUAACUACAGUACCAUGAGAAUGAAGCUUUGAAGGUGCUCUAACCCCAUUCUGCCUUAUCUAGUGGCUGCCAGGUUCCUGGGGUCACCAGGAUUGUGGACUGUUGGCUUCCAAGGCUGCCAGGGAGCUGGAGAAAGGGGGAUGGAAAUAGGAUAGUUAAAAUGCCACAAACCUCUUUGUUUUUACUAAGAUUCAACCAUUUGUCUUGAUAAAUGCCUCCCAGAUUGCUGCAAGCAAGCCUUUGGUUAAUUUCCAGAGUUCUGAUAAACUUAAUACUAUCAAUUUUUGUCAGUUUUGUACUUGCUUUUAUGGAGGAAAGAAUUGUGGGAGUUUCUUUGUCAUUUUCACUGCUAACACUCAUAGGGAUGAAUCUUACAAACUUAAUGUCAUGGAAUGAAAUGGGAAAGGCAUAAAAUAGUACAUAGGGCAUAAUUCCAUGAAUAUAAAGCUCAAAAAUAGGCCAGACACAGUGGCUCACACCAGUAAUCCCAGCACUUUGGGAGGCCGAGGUGGGAGGACAGCUUGAGCCCAGGCUGGAGAGCAGAGGUGCGAUCUCGGCUCACUGCAACCUCCCCCUCCUGGGCUCAGGUGAUCCUCCCACCCCAGCCUCUCAAAUAGCUGGGACUACAGACGUGUACCACCACACCCAGCCACAAAAAGUUUUUUUAAUUAGCUGAGCAUGGUGGCCUGCAUCUGUAGUCACAGCUACUCAAGAGGUUGAGGAGGGAGGAUCGUUGGAGCCAGGGAAGUCGAGGCUUCAGUGAACUUUGGUCGCGCCACUGAACUUCGGCCUGGGUGACAGAGACCCUGUCACACACCCACAAAAGUUCAAAAACAGGUAAAACUAAAUGACAUAGGCAGGGAUGUGCAUAUAGGUGAUAAAAUGCUAAAGAAAAUGAAGAACACAAUAACCGUAAAAUCCAGGAUGGUGCUUCUUGAGAAUUGGGAAGGGGUACCCACUAGCCACCUAGUGAGCUAGGUGAUGGUUACGUGGGCAGUAAUUUCACACCUAUUUGUUAAAUUGUACUUAUAUGUUUUGUGAACUUUUUUUUUUUUUUUGAGACAAGGUCUUGCUCUGUCACCCAGGCUGGAUGAGUGCAGUGGUACAAUCUCAGCUCACUACAACCUCCGUCUCCUGGGCUCAAGCGAUCCUCCCACCUCAGCCUCCCAAAUAGCUGUGACUACAGGCAGGCGCCACCAUGCCCAGCUAAUUUUUAUAUUUUCAGUAGAAACGGGGUUUCACCAUGUUGGCCAGGCUGGUCUGGAACUCCCUACCUUAAAUGAUCUGCCCACCUCGGCCUUCCAAAGUGCUGGGAUUAUAGGCAUGAGCCACUGUGUCCAGACCACAUUUCUUUAUGUGUAUUAUAUUUCACAAUAAAACAUUUUAAAAUUAAAUAGAUACUUCAUUUAUAAUUUGCACCAAGCAGGAAGUGAACACAUUCCACCCACACAGAACUCAGUUGUAUGCCAUCAUAUUUAACUACAGCACAGGGAAAAAUAAGGAAGUGUAGCCAAAAUAGAUUUUUUUUUUUACCUUGUGACGCAACAGUAAAAUAGAUGUUAUAAUAUCUACGCGUUCAAAGGAGAGCCUCGCCGGCCUUAUUUAAAGGCUAUUUAUUUUUAUUAAUGUCUAACAUACUUGGUCUUCUGUUUCCUCAGUAGACAGUAAACUCCUCAAUAUUAUUUGAGCUCCUAGGACAGAUCCGUGUCUGUUUUGCUUACAAUAGCAUCUCUAGCACUUAGCCGAUUGUAAGUGCUCCAUAAUCAUUAAAUCAAGAAUGACUGACAGCAAAUUAGGAAAAAAGGGAAAAAGUUGAUGUAAGCAAGUGCACUGACUGUAAGUCAGGAAUGGAAAAAAAAAAGCCAAUAGAAGGCGAAAACAAACAGAAAACCAUGAGCAUUAGAAUGGAGUAACGGCUUAAACAAGUUAUCUUUUCUCAUAUAAAAAAAUGGAGGUGGCAUGGCAGACUUUUGUAUUAUCAGGAGCCCAGGCUCCCAUCUUUCUGCUUGACCAUCCUCAGUUCAUGGUUUCUAGUCUCGAGGUCACCUCAGGGUCCAAGAUGGCCAUGAAUAUUCCAUUAUUAUAUCCAGGAAUAAGGAAGUCAAGUAAAGGGGAGCACAACAUAUUAAGGUGAUUUCCAGAAGUUCCAUACAACACCCCUAUUUACAUAUUGGGCCCAUCGCGGUGGCUCACGCAUGUAAUCCCAGCACUUAGGGAGGCUGGAGUGGGAGGAUCUCUUGAGGCCAGGAGUUCAAGACCAGUCUGGACAACAUAACAAGACCUCAACUCUACUAAAAAAUUUUUAAAAAUUAACCAGUUGUGGUGGCACAUGCCCGUCCAGAGGCUGAGUUGGGAGGAUGGCUUGAGCCCAGGAGGUUGAGGCUGCAGUGAGCCAUGAUCGUGCCACUGCACUCCAGCCUGGGUGACAGAGGGAGAUCCUGACUCAAAAAACAAACAGCCAGGCACAGUGGUUCAUGCCUGUAAUCCCAGCACUUUGGGAGGCCAAGGCGGGAGGAUCAUGAGGUCAGCAGUUCGAGAUCAGCCUGGCCAACAGGCGAAACCCUGUCUCUACUAAAAAUACAAAAAUUAGCCAGGUGUGGUGGUGCAUAUGUGUAAUCCCAGCUACUUAGGAGGCUGAGGCAUGAAAAAUCACUUGAACCUGGAAGGCGGAGGUUGCAGUGUUCUGAGAUCGAGACAGUGCACUCCAGCCUAGGCAAUAGAGUGAGACUCUGUCUUGAAAAAAAAACCAAGCAAACAAACAACAACUACAAAAAUAAAAAAACCCCAAAUACAUCUUAUUGGCCAGAACAUAGUCACCUGUUCAAAUGUAAAUAUAAGGAAAGUAGGGAAAUACAGUCUCUUAUCAGGGCAGCUAAUACUGGGGAUUCUGUUCACUAGGGAGGAGGACAGAUCAGAUUUGGUAGGCAGCAUUAGCAGGGAGGAGGACAGAUGAGAUUUGGCGGGCAACAUUAGCCUCUGCCACAGGGAGAAUUUGAUCAGAAGCAAAUAGAUGAACCUGUACGCAUCAAGAGGUUCUGAGUACAGCAUAACUCUAAUACAUAACAAUACAAAGCAGUCGUACUUGUUAAUAAUGCAAAUUCUGAGACAUCAAGAAAAAUAUUAAAUUACAUGUACCAAUCUUCUGUAAAGAAAGCAAAGAUGUGGCCGGGCACAGUGGCUCACGCCUGUAAUCCCAGCACUUUGGGAGUCGAGGUGGGCGGAUCACCAAGUCAGGAGAUCAAGACCAACCUGGCCAACAUGGAGAAACCCCAUCUCUACUAAAAAUACAAAAAUUAGCCGGGCGUGGUGGUGCGCACCUGUACUCCUAGCUACUUGGGAGGCUGAGGCAGGAGAAUCGCUUGAACCCAGGAGGCAGAGGUUGCAGUGAGCCAAGAUGGCGCCAUUGCACUCCAGCCUAGGCAAGAGAGUGAGACUCCGUCUAAAAACAAAACAUCAAAAAGGAAGGAAGGAAGGCAGGCAGGCGGGCAGGCAAAGAUGAGUAUAAUACAUUUUCUGAAGAAGUGUAUCCAAAAUAUUGAAUAUUGAAAACUUAGAGCACAUAGAGGCUGGGGAGGUAGGCCACAUCUGUAGCCCCAGCACGUUGGGAGUCCCAGGCAGGAGGAACACUUGAGCCCAGGAAUUUGAGACCAGCCUGGGCAACAUAAGGAGACAUCAUUUCUAUAAACAUAAAAAAAUUAGCUGGGCGUAGUGCAUGCGCCUGUGGUUCCAGCUUUUUGGGAAGCUGAGGUGAGAGGAUCUCUUGAGUUCAGAAGGUUGAAGCUGCAGUGAGCUGUGACUGUGCCACUGCACUCCAGCCUGGGCAGCAGAGCCGCUAUUGUCUGUCAUCCAGGUUUUGCAGUAGGAAUCUGAUUGUUUUUUUUGUGUUGUUGUUGUUUUGAGAUGGAGCGCAGUGGCACGAUCUCAGAUCACCGCCACCUCCACUUCCUGGGUUCAAGUGAUUCUCCUACCUCAGCCUCCUGAGUAGCUGGGAUUACAGGCACACACCACCACACCUGGCUAAUUUUUGUAUUUUUAGUAGGGACAGGGUUUCGCCACAUUGGCCUGGCUGGUCUCAAACUCCUGACCUCAGGUGAUCUGCCUGACUCGGCCUCCCAAAGUGCUGAGAUUACAGGCAUAAGCCACCACCCCCAGCAUAAUUAGUCUUCUUGUUUAACAUCUUUCCCCCCACCUUUCUUUUCAACAUAGCAGCCAGCAAAAUCCUCUUAAAACUUACAUAGAUAAACAUCACUCUUCUGCUCAAAACCCCUCAGUGGCCUUCCUUCUCAGAGUAAAACCAAAGUCACAUCGCCUAAAUGCCUUGUCUGAACCCCAAACCUUCCUGAUCUCACCUGUGCUUGCCUCCUGGUGCCUUUGACUCAAGCCAUUUCCUACUCAUGUUGUACCUCCGACACUCCAGACGUGCUCCAUGCUGUUCCCUCUGUCUGGAACACUCUUCCCCCCUUGCACUGUGCCCUUCUCACUCAUUUCAUUCAGUUAUUUGCAAAUGUCACCUGAUCAGAGAGGCCUUCCCUAAGCAAUCGCUCCAUUUGAAAGAGUACCGCUGCCCUCGUCACUCUAGUUCUGCUGCAUUUUUCUUUUCUUUCUUUUUUUUUUUACUUGCCGAUAAUUUUAUUGCUUACGUAGAACAUCCAAGAGUAUUUAAUGAUAAAUAGAACCCCCAAAGUUUCAGACAAUUAUUUGGUACAUAAUCCAUACAUAAAAAUGAGUUGCCUUCCUCUAUGCCAGAAGCCAACAGUUAGAAUAUAUAAUUUUAUAAAAAUUCUAUUUAUAGUAUCAACAAAAAUUUUUAAAUUCCUGAUAGAAAAUAUAAAGACAUGUAAAGUAUUCAUAAAGAAAAUUAUAAAUCCUUAUUGAAAGGAAUCAGUGGAAAGCUAUACCAUAUUUAUGGAUGGGAUAAUUAAAAAUCAUUAAUUUGAUAUCCUGCAUUUUUCUUUAUAGCAUUUACUUCUACCAGCCACACUCUAAAUUUGUUUACUUGCUUAUCAUGUCUAUCAUGUCUCUGUCUCCUGGAAUAUAAGCUCCAAGCCGGGAACUUGUUUUGUUUCUUGCUCUAUUCUCAGUUCCUAGAUCAGUACCUUUCACAUGGGAGUGGAUUAAUAAAUAUUUAUUUAAUGAAGGAUGAAUGAACGAAUGAAUGAGAGGUAUUAACACUGUUUACUCUGCUACAGGAGUCCUUGGCUAAAAAGAUUGAGAAUCAGUAAGCUAUAGAACACUCUAUGCAAAACGAAAACCACCCAUACUUUUCACAUGGAAGCAUAAGACAGUUUUAACUAAAUAAAUGAAAACUUUUCUUCAAAAAAAAAAAUUACUCUUCUACUUUUGUUUCAGUAUUUCAUUUACACUCCUUAAAUCUAGUAAGAAUUAGGCAGCCAGGCACAGUGGCUCAUACCUGUAAUCCCACCACUCUGGGAGACCAAG
RNAcentral lists this long non-coding RNA (14371 nucleotides) under Homo sapiens (human). Its description in RNAcentral is "non-protein coding lnc-RAD52-2:8". The record is from RNAcentral. Lineage: Eukaryota; Metazoa; Chordata; Mammalia; Primates; Hominidae.